CUCUUGUGCCUGCUGCGGACAGAUCAGGUGGAUGUGCGUGUCGACCGCGCCGGCCGUCACGAUCCGUCCCUCGGCCGCCACCACGUCUGUGCAGCUGCCGACAACCAUGCAGGCCGGCGACACGUCCAUCACGUCCGGGUUGCCAGCCUUGCCCAGACCCACGAUCACGCCGCCCUUGAUGCCAAUGUCGGCCUUGAAGAUGCCCGUCCAGUCCAGCACCAGUGCGUUGGUCACCACCAGGUCCAGACAAUCGGCGUCGGCCCGUCCGGAUGCCUGGCCCAUGCCCUCGCGCAG
This 294-nucleotide small RNA is filed under the name Grosmannia clavigera kw1407. Its description in RNAcentral is "5' ureB small RNA". It matches the Rfam family "5' ureB small RNA". The record is from Rfam by way of RNAcentral. Lineage: Eukaryota; Fungi; Ascomycota; Sordariomycetes; Ophiostomatales; Ophiostomataceae.